Molecule: ribosomal RNA, 1017 nt
Filed under: uncultured bacterium
Lineage: Bacteria
Description: bacterial SSU rRNA
Rfam family: Bacterial small subunit ribosomal RNA
Source: RNAcentral
UGAGGAAUAUUGGUCAAUGGGCGAGAGCCUGAACCAGCCAAGUAGCGUGAAGGAUGACUGCCCUAUGGGUUGUAAACUUCUUUUAUAAAGGAAUAAAGUCGGGUAUGGAUACCCGUUUGCAUGUACUUUAUGAAUAAGGAUCGGCUAACUCCGUGCCAGCAGCCGCGGUAAUACGGAGGAUCCGAGCGUUAUCCGGAUUUAUUGGGUUUAAAGGGAGCGUAGAUGGAUGUUUAAGUCAGUUGUGAAAGUUUGCGGCUCAACCGUAAAAUUGCAGUUGAUACUGGAUAUCUUGAGUGCAGUUGAGGCAGGCGGAAUUCGUGGUGUAGCGGUGAAAUGCUUAGAUAUCACGAAGAACUCCGAUUGCGAAGGCAGCCUGCUAAGCUGCAACUGACAUUGAGGCUCGAAAGCGUGGGUAUCAAACAGGAUUAGAUACCCUGGUAGUCCACACGGUAAACGAUGAAUACUCGCUGUUUGCGAUAUACUGCAAGCGGCCAAGCGAAAGCGUUAAGUAUUCCACCUGGGGAGUACGCCGGCAACGGUGAAACUCAAAGGAAUUGACGGGGGCCCGCACAAGCGGAGGAACAUGUGGUUUAAUUCGAUGAUACGCGAGGAACCUUACCCGGGCUUGAAUUGCAACUGAAUGAUGUGGAGACAUGUCAGCCGCAAGGCAGUUGUGAAGGUGCUGCAUGGUUGUCGUCAGCUCGUGCCGUGAGGUGUCGGCUUAAGUGCCAUAACGAGCGCAACCCUUAUCGAUAGUUACCAUCAGGUUAUGCUGGGGACUCUGUCGAGACUGCCGUCGUAAGAUGUGAGGAAGGUGGGGAUGACGUCAAAUCAGCACGGCCCUUACGUCCGGGGCUACACACGUGUUACAAUGGGGGGUACAGAAGGCAGCUACACGGCGACGUGAUGCUAAUCCCGAAAGCCUCUCUCAGUUCGGAUUGGAGUCUGCAACCCGACUCCAUGAAGCUGGAUUCGCUAGUAAUCGCGCAUCAGCCACGGCGCGGUGAAUACGUUCCC